UACAGAGGUCCCAAGCGUUGUUCGGAUUCACUGGGCGUAAAGGGUGCGUAGGCGGUCGGGUAAGUCUGGUGUGAAAUUCCAAAGCUCAACUUCGGAACUGCAUCGGAUACUACUCGGCUAGAGGGUUGGAGGGGGGACUGGAAUUCUCGGUGUAGCAGUGAAAUGCGUAGAUAUCGAGAGGAACAUCAGUGGCGAAGGCGAGUCCCUAGACAACUCCUGACGCUGAGGCACGAAAGCCAGGGGAGCAAACGGG
RNAcentral lists this ribosomal RNA (253 nucleotides) under uncultured bacterium. Its description in RNAcentral is "partial 16S ribosomal RNA". It matches the Rfam family "Bacterial small subunit ribosomal RNA", at positions 524 to 776 of the family's 1533-position model. The record is from RNAcentral.